GAGUUUGAUCCUGGCUCAGGACGAACGCUGGCGGCGUGCUUAACACAUGCAAGUCGAACGGAGAUUUAAGAGGAAGCUUGCGAAUCUUAAAUUUUAGUGGCGGACGGGUGAGUAACACGUGGAUAACCUGCCUGUAAGACCGGGACAACACCUGGAAACGGGUGCUAAUACCGGGUAAGCUCUUCAGCCCGCAUGGGCAGAAGAGGAGAGGGGAAACCCGCUUACAGAUGGGUCCGCGGCCCAUUAGCUAGUUGGCGGUGUAACAGACCACCAAGGCGACGAUGGGUAGCCGGCCUGAGAGGGUGACCGGCCACACUGGAACUGAGACACGGUCCAGACUCCUACGGGAGGCAGCAGUGGGGAAUCUUCCGCAAUGGGCGAAAGCCUGACGGAGCAACGCCGCGUGAAUGAUGAAGGCCUUCGGGUUGUAAAAUUCUGUCUUCAGGGAAGAAAAAAAUGACGGUACCUGAGGAGGAAGCCCCGGCUAACUACGUGCC
This 497-nucleotide ribosomal RNA is filed under the name uncultured Peptococcaceae bacterium. RNAcentral's name for it is "bacterial SSU rRNA". It matches the Rfam family "Bacterial small subunit ribosomal RNA", at positions 9 to 509 of the family's 1533-position model. The record is from RNAcentral. Lineage: Bacteria; Bacillati; Bacillota; Clostridia; Eubacteriales; Peptococcaceae.